Molecule: ribosomal RNA, 270 nt
Filed under: uncultured archaeon
Lineage: Archaea
Description: partial 16S ribosomal RNA
Rfam family: Archaeal small subunit ribosomal RNA
Source: RNAcentral
CAGCCCCUCGAGUGGUGGGGAUGAUUAUUGGGCCUAAAGCGUCCGUAGCCUGCCGUAUAAGUUUCCCGUUAAAUCCAGCGUCUUAAGCAUUGGACCGCGGGAAAUACUGUACGGCUAGAGAGUGGGAGAGGUCAGCGGUAUUCUGGGGGUAGGGGCGAAAUCCUUUGAUCCCCGGAGGACCACCAGUGGCGAAGGCUGCUGUCUAGAACACGUCUGACGGUCAGGGACGAAAGCUGGGGUAGCGAACCGGAUUAGAUACCCGAGUAGUCC